This is a non-coding RNA of Caenorhabditis elegans, 139 nucleotides long. Lineage: Eukaryota; Metazoa; Nematoda; Chromadorea; Rhabditida; Rhabditidae. The record is from Ensembl.
GCUCUGUUCUGCUGUUUUCUGUGCUUUAUAUACCUGACCGUCUUUUUUUGUAGAGCGCCCAACAUGUGGGGCGUUCUUGAAAGUCCGACAAAAACGCGAUUCGCACCUGGUUCCAAAGCUCCGCCAAAUCACUCGAGAG